AAAUACGCGACGGGGUAU
Molecule: small nuclear RNA, 18 nt
Filed under: Arabidopsis thaliana (thale cress)
Lineage: Eukaryota; Viridiplantae; Streptophyta; Magnoliopsida; Brassicales; Brassicaceae
Description: snRNA_03552
Source: RNAcentral